Ribosomal RNA from Cyprinus carpio (common carp), 119 nucleotides. Lineage: Eukaryota; Metazoa; Chordata; Actinopteri; Cypriniformes; Cyprinidae. The record is from Ensembl.
ACUUACGGCCAUACCACCCUCAGCGCACCCGAUCUCGUCUGAUCUCUGAAGCUAAGAAGGGUCGGGCCUGGUUAGUACUUGGAUGGGAGACCGCCUGGGAAUACCAGGUGCUGUAAGAA